GCCCCGAUACUCCAAUUCGGCAGAGAGGGCGAGCUCAAACCUCGUACAGUGUGGGUUCGAGUCCCACUCGGGGCA
Molecule: transfer RNA, 75 nt
Filed under: Candidatus Nocardiopsis merdipullorum
Lineage: Bacteria; Bacillati; Actinomycetota; Actinomycetes; Streptosporangiales; Nocardiopsidaceae
Also listed under: 1 other name
Description: tRNA-Leu
Rfam family: tRNA
About the family: Transfer RNA (tRNA) molecules are approximately 80 nucleotides in length. Their secondary structure includes four short double-helical elements and three loops (D, anti-codon, and T loops). Further hydrogen bonds mediate the characteristic L-shaped molecular structure. tRNAs have two regions of fundamental functional importance: the anti-codon, which is responsible for specific mRNA codon recognition, and the 3' end, to which the tRNAs corresponding amino acid is attached (by aminoacyl-tRNA synthetases). tRNAs cope with the degeneracy of the genetic code in two manners: having more than one tRNA (with a specific anti-codon) for a particular amino acid; and 'wobble' base-pairing, i.e. permitting non-standard base-pairing at the 3rd anti-codon position.
Source: RNAcentral